AAGGCUUCGAGGCUGCUCCCAUACGCACUGGUGGAAGGAGAGGCCGCGCUCCCGGCUGAGCACGGUGUCACGGGUGCUGCAGCCCACUGCGGAGCAACUUCGGGUCAUCUUCUUGUUACGUGGGGCCCCACCUUCGGGGUUCCCGCGACAGCAUGAAUCACGACCACUUUAGCUCCGCCCGUUGACUCUGCGGCUACGACCUUUAUUUGUCACGAAAGGCGGGCUUUAGAGGCGCGGGACUUCCACACUUCCUCUCCGAAGGCCCUGCGCCGGUGCCGUAGCCAAUGACAGGCCACGUUGUGUCCCAGCAGCCAAUCGGAAGGGCCUGAGCCUGAAGACGUGCAUUUGACCGCUCCUCCCUCCGCGUUGGAGGCGGAAUAGUGGGUUUUGCUGCAACCGGUUUAUUUUCCUUCUGUUUUCACCCAUUCGGGCACAAUCUGGCGCCAUCGUCCUUCUUGUGAGGCCAAGCCUGAAAAUGCGAAGCAGAGAGGCAGGACCAAAAUUGAGGCGAAUCCGGGAACCUGCCAAUGGGUCUCCGGGUGCGGUCUCUGAAACUGGAGGAUAUCGGGAGGAAAGGCUCUCCGAUGCGGAGAUAAUGGGGAAGCUCUUGGCAUGGUUGGCUGUAGGUAUGUGAUACCGGAGGAGCAGGAGUCAAAUAGGAUACGCCGACUUUUAAUUCAAGGAACCCUUUUCUGAAACACUUUGCCACAAUGAAGGAAAUAAGAUUACAGCCGAAGAUACAUAUUAAGGAAUUGUACUCUCAGAGAUGUUGAGAAAAGAUACAUGGGUCUUGGAAGAUAAUUACUCAAAAUAUGCAGGGAAGGAAUAAAAUUGAAGGGUGUUUUUCUUAGAGAACAUCAUUUGUCAUAUUUAUUUGAUCAAGAAGUUGAAGAUUUAUGUAAUAAGGUAUGGGACUUACACAUUUAUCUUGAUAAAAGAACACAGAAAAGGUCAGGUAUGAGCAGAAAAUUGACAUUUAUUUCAGCCUAAUGUGGAUACUGUACUCUGAAUUAAAAAUUUCUUUUCCUUACUCUUCCAGCUUUUAAAGAUAAGUAUUAUUUCAAAAUAGUAUUUUUUUUAAUUAAUAGAUUCAAUUCAGGAAAGGCAUUGGAGGGGGUGGAGCUUUUAACUUUGACAGUCUCACUCUGUUGCCCAGGCUGGAGUGCAGCGGCGCAAUCUCUGCUCACUGCAAUCUCUGCCUCCUGGGUUCAAAUAGUUAUUGUGGCCCAGCUUCCCAAGUGGCUGGGAUUAGAGGCGCAUGCCACCACACCCAGCUAAUUUUUUUUAUUAAGUAGAGACCAUGUUUUGCCAUGUUGGCCAGACUGGUCUCAAACUUCCAGCCACCAACCUCAGCCUCCCAAAGUGCUGGGAUUAUAGUCAUAAGCCACCACACCUGGCUGUUGGUUAUCUUUUCUUAGAAAUAAUGAUAUAAUCUUUUCAGCACCUGAUAUUCUUAAAGAUCCAGGGUUUACAAAUGACUGUUAGAUAUGCCAAGGAUGACUAGCCUAUAACUUAAGGAACUGUUCAGGAACAGUAGAAAAGAAGGUGAUAGGAAACUGGGAAUCUUAAAUCU
RNAcentral lists this long non-coding RNA (1573 nucleotides) under Pan troglodytes (chimpanzee). Its description in RNAcentral is "long non-coding RNA NONPTRT012511". The record is from RNAcentral. Lineage: Eukaryota; Metazoa; Chordata; Mammalia; Primates; Hominidae.